UUGGUGGCGAGCGGCGAACGGGUGAGUAAUACAUCGGAACGUACCUUUUAGUGGGGGAUAACGCAUCGAAAGAUGUGCUAAUACCGCAUAAUCUCUGAGGAGGAAAGGCGGGGACCUUCGGGCCUGUCGCUAAAAGAGCGGCCGAUGGCUGAUUAGCUAGUUGGUAGGGUAAAGGCCUACCAAGGCGAUGAUCAGUAGCUGUUCUGAGAGGAAGAUCAGCCACACUGGGACUGAGACACGGCCCAGACUCC
RNAcentral lists this ribosomal RNA (251 nucleotides) under uncultured bacterium. RNAcentral's name for it is "partial 16S ribosomal RNA". It matches the Rfam family "Bacterial small subunit ribosomal RNA", at positions 85 to 339 of the family's 1533-position model. The record is from RNAcentral.